ACAGGGAUUGCCCUAGUAACGGCGAGUGAAGCGGCAACAGCUCAAAUUUGAAAUCUGGCUCUUUCAGAGUCCGAGUUGUAAUUUGCAGAGGGCGCUUUGGCGUUGGCAGCGGUCCAAGUUCCUUGGAACAGGACGUCACAGAGGGUGAGAAUCCCGUACGUGGUCGCUGGCCUUCGCCGUGUAAAGCCCCUUCGACGAGUCGAGUUGUUUGGGAAUGCAGCUCUAAAUGGGAGGUAAAUUUCUUCUAAAGCUAAAUACUGGCCAGAGACCGAUAGCGCACAAGUAGAGUGAUCGAAAGAUGAAAAGCACUUUGGAAAGAGAGUCAAAUAGCACGUGAAAUUGUUGAAAGGGAAGCGCUUGCAGCCAGACUUGCCUGUAGUUGCUCAUCCGGGCUCUCGCCCGGUGCACUCUUCUACAGGCAGGCCAGCAUCAGUUUGGGCGGUUGGAUAAAGGUCUCUGUCACGUACCUCCUCUCGGGGAGGCCUUAUAGGGGAGACGACAUGCAACCAGCCUGGACUGAGGUCCGCGCAAUUGCUAGGAUGCUGGCGUAAUGGCUGUAAGCGGCCCGUCUUGAAACACGGACCAAGGAGUCUAACAUCUAUGCGAGUGUUUGGGUGUCAAGCCCGAGCGCGCAAUGAAAGUGAACGGAGGUGGGAACCCUUUUGGGGUGCACCAUCGACCGAUCCUGAUGUCUUCGGAUGGAUUUGAGUAAGAGCAUGGCUGUUGGGACCCGAAAGAUGGUGAACUAUGCUUGAAUAGGGUGAAGCCAGAGGAAACUCUGGUGGAGGCUCGCAGCGGUUCUGACGUGCAAAUCGAUCGUCAAAUUUGGGCAUAGGGGCGAAAGACUAAUCGAACUAUCUAGUAGCUGGUUCCUGCCGAAUUUCCCCUCAGGAAG
This 895-nucleotide ribosomal RNA is filed under the name Heterosporicola beijingensis. RNAcentral's name for it is "Heterosporicola sp. RSB-2019a partial large subunit ribosomal RNA". It matches the Rfam family "Eukaryotic large subunit ribosomal RNA", at positions 68 to 981 of the family's 3401-position model. Lineage: Eukaryota; Fungi; Ascomycota; Dothideomycetes; Pleosporales; Leptosphaeriaceae. The record is from RNAcentral.